RNAcentral lists this ribosomal RNA (253 nucleotides) under uncultured bacterium. Its description in RNAcentral is "partial 16S ribosomal RNA". It matches the Rfam family "Bacterial small subunit ribosomal RNA", at positions 524 to 776 of the family's 1533-position model. The record is from RNAcentral.
UACAGAGGGGGCAAGCGUUGUUUGGAAUUACUGGGCGUAAAGGGCGCGUAGGCGGCCUUCUAAGUCGAACGUGAAAUCCCCGGGCUCAACCCGGGAACUGCGUCCGAUACUGGAAGGCUUGAAUCCGGGAGAGGGAUGCGGAAUUCCAGGUGUAGCGGUGAAAUGCGUAGAUAUCUGGAGGAACACCGGUGGCGAAGGCGGCAUCCUGGACCGGCAUUGACGCUGAGGCGCGAAAGCCAGGGGAGCAAACGGG